Marmota marmota marmota (Alpine marmot) is the source of this 120-nucleotide ribosomal RNA. Lineage: Eukaryota; Metazoa; Chordata; Mammalia; Rodentia; Sciuridae. The record is from Ensembl.
GUCUAUAACCAUGCCACCCUGAAAGUGCCUGAUCUCAUCUGAUCUUGAAGGCGAACUAAGCAGAGCUGGGCUUGGUUUGUACUUGGAUGGGAGAAAAUGCAUCUUUAGUAGUAGGACACC